This 943-nucleotide long non-coding RNA is filed under the name Homo sapiens (human). RNAcentral describes it as "HSALNT0019240". Lineage: Eukaryota; Metazoa; Chordata; Mammalia; Primates; Hominidae. The record is from RNAcentral.
GAAAUAUAUUUCAAUGAUUAAAAUUAACAGGAUGUACCACAGACUAGAUGUGAGAGGCAUAAAGAUUGACUGUAAAGAUUGUAGCCUGAGCACCCGGAAAGAAAGGAAUUCCUAUAAAUACACAGAGAGUAGAAAGAAUUUACCAAAGGCCAGUUAAGAGUGAUGGAAAAUACAGACAUCCUAAUUUUGAGAGGCCAAUUAAACAUUCAGACAAACUUCUGUACAAGGGCUGAAGACAGGACAAGAUGUGCUGAUGUAUAAAAAGUCUAAAUCUGCAGCAUAAUCGUGAAGAGAUGAGGAAAGCCACGUACUCAGAGCCUCACUUAAAGGAAAUGAAACAGUAAAACUGAAUCAGAUUUGGCUCUUCACUUCUGCCUUCAGUGCUGUCCAGACUCAGACAUUAUAUCAUUCUAGAUCCUUCCAAAAAAGAGCCCGCAUAGCCAAGACAAUCCUCGGCAAGAAGAACAAAGCUGGAGGCAUCACACUACCUGACUUCAAACUAUACUACAAGGCUACAGUAACCAAAACAGCAUGGUACCUGUACCAAAACAGAUGUAUAGACCAAUGGAACAAAACAAAGGCCUCAGAAAUAACACCACACAUCUACAACCACCUGAUCUUUGACAAACCUGACAAAAACGAGCAAUGGGGAAAGGAUUCUCUAUUUAAUAAAUGGUGUUGGAAAAACCGGCUAGCCAUAUGCAGAAAACUGAAACUGGGCCCAUUCCUUACACCUUAUACAAAAAUCAACUGAAGAGAUCAAAGACUUAAACGUAAGACCUAGUACCAUAAAAAUCCUAGAAGAAAACCUGGGCAAUACCAUUCAGGACAUAGGCAUGGGCAAAGACUUCACAUCUAAAACACCAAAAUCAAUGGCAACAAAAGCCAAAAUUGACAAAUGAGAUCUAAUUAAACUAAAGAGUUUCUGCAUAUCAAAAGAAAC